AACGCUGGCGGUAUGCUUAACACAUGCAAGUCGAACGGAAACGAUACUAGCUUGCUAGUAGGCGUCGAGUGGCGGACGGGUGAGUAACGCGUAGGAAUCUGCCUGAUAGUGGGGGAUAGCCCGAAGAAAUUCGGAUUAAUACCGCAUAAUCUAUUCGUAGUAAAGUGGGGGACUUUCGAGCCUCACGCUAUCAGAUGAGCCUGCGUAAGAUUAGCUUGUUGGUAGGGUAAAAGCCUACCAAGGCGACGAUCUUUAGCUGGUCUGAGAGGAUGAUCAGCCACAUCGGGACUGAGACACGGCCCGAACUCCUACGGGAGGCAGCAGUGGGGAAUAUUGGACAAUGGGGGCAACCCUGAUCCAGCAAUACCGCGUGUGUGAAGAAGGCCUGAGGGUUGUAAAGCACUUUCAAUUGUGAAGAAAAGUUAGCGGUUAAUAACCGUUAGCCUUGACGUUAACUUUAGAAGAAGCACCGGCUAA
RNAcentral lists this ribosomal RNA (477 nucleotides) under uncultured bacterium. Its description in RNAcentral is "bacterial SSU rRNA". It matches the Rfam family "Bacterial small subunit ribosomal RNA", at positions 32 to 500 of the family's 1533-position model. The record is from RNAcentral.